RNAcentral lists this ribosomal RNA (307 nucleotides) under uncultured bacterium. RNAcentral's name for it is "partial 16S ribosomal RNA". It matches the Rfam family "Bacterial small subunit ribosomal RNA", at positions 506 to 807 of the family's 1533-position model. The record is from RNAcentral.
AGACAGCAGCCGCCACGGUAAUACGUAGGGUGCGAGCGUUAAUCGGAAUUACUGGGCGUAAAGCGUGCGCAGGCGGUUGUGUAAGACAGGUGUGAAAUCCCCGGGCUUAACCUGGGAACUGCGCUUGUGACUGCACAGCUAGAGUAUGGCAGAGGGGGGUGGAAUUCCACGUGUAGCAGUGAAAUGCGUUGAGAUGUGGAGGAACACCGAUGGCGAAGGCAGCCCCCUGGGCCAACACUGACGCUCAUGCACGAAAGCGUGGGGAGCAAACAGGAUUAGAUACCCGAGUAGUCCCUGUCUCUUAUAC